Molecule: ribosomal RNA, 231 nt
Filed under: uncultured bacterium
Lineage: Bacteria
Description: partial 16S ribosomal RNA
Rfam family: Bacterial small subunit ribosomal RNA
Source: RNAcentral
GGGUAGCGGAACACGUACGCAACCUUCCCAAAACUGGUGAAUAGCCCUCCGAAAGGAGGAUUAAUACACCGUAAGAUGAUGAAGUGGCAUCACUUUAUUAUUAUAGCUCCGGCGGUUUUGGAUGGGCGUGCGCCUGAUUAGGUAGUUGGCGGGGUAACGGCCCACCAAGCCUGCGAUCAGUAACUGGUGUGAGAGCACGACCAGUCACACGGGCACUGAGACACGGGCCCG